Molecule: ribosomal RNA, 857 nt
Filed under: Spathularia sp. L. P. Tang 684
Lineage: Eukaryota; Fungi; Ascomycota; Leotiomycetes; Rhytismatales; Cudoniaceae
Also listed under: 2 other names
Description: eukaryotic LSU rRNA
Rfam family: Eukaryotic large subunit ribosomal RNA
Source: RNAcentral
CCAACAGGGAUUGCCUCAGUAACGGCGAGUGAAGCGGCAACAGCUCAAAUUUGAAAGCUGGCUCUUGCAGAGCCCGCAUUGUAAUUUGUAGAGGAUGCUUCAGGUGCGGCGCUGGUCUAAGUUCUUUGGAACAAGACGUCAUAGAGGGUGAGAAUCCCGUAUGUGACUAGCUGCCUGGACCUAUGUGAAGCUCCUUCGACGAGUCGAGUUGUUUGGGAAUGCAGCUCAAAAUGGGUGGUGUACUUCAUCUAAAGCUAAAUAUUGGCCAGAGACCGAUAGCGCACAAGUAGAGUGAUCGAAAGAUGAAAAGCACUUUGGAAAGAGAGUUAAACAGUACGUGAAAUUGUUGAAAGGGAAGCGCUUGCAAUCAGACUUGCGCGGCGUCGAUCAACCUGGGUUCUCCCUGGUGCACUCGGCGCUGCUCAGGCCAGCAUCAGUUUCAGCGGUUGGAUAAAGGCCUAGGGAACGUGGGUUACUUCGGUGACUGUUAUAGCCCUAGGUGCAAUGCAGCCUGUUGGGACUGAGGACCGCGCUUCGGCUAGGAUGCUGGCGUAAUGGUUGUAAGCGACCCGUCUUGAAACACGGACCAAGGAGUCUAACAUCUAUGCGAGUUUUUGGGUGUUAAACCCAUAAGCGUAAUGAAAGUGAACGGAGGUGAGAACCCUUAAGGGUGCAUCAUCGACCGAUCCUGAUGUCUUCGGAUGGAUUUGAGUAAGAGCAUAGCUGUUGGGACCCGAAAGAUGGUGAUCUAUACUUGAAUAGGGUGAAGCCAGAGGAAACUCUGGUGGAGGCUCGCAGCGGUUCUGACGUGCAAAUCGAUCGUCAAAUUUGAGUAUAGGGGCGAAAGACUAAUCGAA